AACGCUGGCGGCGUGCGUAACACAUGCAAGUCGAACGAGAAUGUGCUGACAGAUCCUUAGGGUGAAGAUAGCACAGGACAGUGGCGGAUGGGUGAGUAACGCGUAAGAAACCUGCCUUUCACACCGGGAUAGCAGCUGGAACCGGCUAUUAAUACCGGAUGACACUUUUUCCCCGCAUGAGGAAGAGGUUAAAGAAUUUCGGUGAAAGAUGGUCUUGCGUCUGAUUAGCUAGUUGGUGGGGUAACGGCCCACCAAACCAACGAUCAGUAGCCGGUCUGAGAGGAUGAACGGCCACACUGGAACUGAGACACGGUCCAGACUCCUACGGGAGGCAGCAGUGGGGAAUCUUCCGCAAUGGACGAAAGUCUGACGGAGCAACGCCGCGUGAGUGAAGACGGCCUUCGGGUUGUAAAGCUCUGUGAUCCGGGACGA
Molecule: ribosomal RNA, 432 nt
Filed under: uncultured Veillonellaceae bacterium
Lineage: Bacteria; Bacillati; Bacillota; Negativicutes; Veillonellales; Veillonellaceae
Description: bacterial SSU rRNA
Rfam family: Bacterial small subunit ribosomal RNA
Source: RNAcentral